RNAcentral lists this ribosomal RNA (499 nucleotides) under uncultured bacterium. RNAcentral describes it as "partial 16S ribosomal RNA". It matches the Rfam family "Bacterial small subunit ribosomal RNA", at positions 28 to 507 of the family's 1533-position model. The record is from RNAcentral.
GACGAACGCUGGCGGCGUGCCUAAUACAUGCAAGUCGAGCGAAGUUUUUCUGGUGCUUGCACUAGAAAAACUUAGCGGCGAACGGGUGAGUAACACGUAAAGAACCUGCCUCAUAGACUGGGACAACUAUUGGAAACGAUAGCUAAUACCGGAUAACAGUAUUUCUCGCAUGAGAGAUAUUUAAAAGUUGGUUAUGCUAACACUAUGAGAUGGCUUUGCGGUGCAUUAGCUAGUUGGUGGGGUAAAGGCCCACCAAGGCGACGAUGCAUAGCCGACCUGAGAGGGUGAUCGGCCACACUGGGACUGAGACACGGCCCAGACUCCUACGGGAGGCAGCAGUAGGGAAUCUUCCGCAAUGGGCGAAAGCCUGACGGAGCAACGCCGCGUGAGUGAAGAAGGAUUUCGGUUCGUAAAGCUCUGUUGUUAGGGAAGAAUGGAUAUGUAGUAACUAUACAUGUAAGAGACGGUACCUAAACAGAAAGCCACGGCUAACUACGUG